Acromyrmex echinatior (Panamanian leafcutter ant) is the source of this 1616-nucleotide long non-coding RNA. The record is from RefSeq and is a predicted model, not a curated record. Lineage: Eukaryota; Metazoa; Arthropoda; Insecta; Hymenoptera; Formicidae.
GUACAAAGUCUUUUCCAAUGGUGGCAAUACUGGUGGAGUAUACAUCGAUUAACCUAAAAUUUAUGUUAAUUGACAUUAUAACCAAUACGAUGCAAAUUUCUGCAAGUACGACACAAUGUCAUAAUAAAUGUCAUAAAUAAUAGACUUUAUUGCUAUAUUAUUACUGAUGGAAGAAGAAGAGAGAGAUAAAAAUAGACAUCGAAAAAACAAUAUAAUAAGGAGAAAUUUAAGAGAUCCAUUUGAUAUUCCGGAUAACAUUCAUCAACAUCUCAAAUUAUAUAGAUAUUUGCAACACUUUCUUAGCAUCUGGUUCCUAUAAAAAUAAAGUAAAAUUUUCUAUCAUGCAUGAGUCAAACUUCCAUCUCUGUUUCUAUUCAUGCUACUGUAAUAUUAAAUAAUAUUAUGGAACAUUAGAUUCAAUUUCCAACAGAUAGAAACAACAAAUUAAACAAGAAUUUUUUGAAACUGGAGGAGUGAUUAGCGCUAUAGACAGAACUCACAUUGUGAUCUUUCCACCACAAUCUGAAUGAGAACAUCUUUUUAUUAAUAGGAAACAAUAUCAUUGAGUGAUGAUUAUUUGUUCCUAUAAUAACGAAAUAAUAGCAGUAAAUGCAAUGCGUAGUGGAAGAACUCAUGACGCCAGAGUCUUUCGUUCUUCGCGUUUGUUCCAUUAUUUAGGAAGACAAUAGGAGAUUCCACCUAUCCGUUUAUGCCUUAUCAUUCAUAAACGCACCAUAGGCUUUCCAGAGUUUAGAUACACAGAACAUUUUACAAAAGCGCGAUCUUCUGCAGAAAGAGGUAUAGGUAUUUUGAAAGACUGAUGAUGAUGUUUGCGAAAAGAGAGGACAUUACAUUAUCAGUCGGAAUUCGCAGCUCAUAUUGUAAAUGCAUGUUGCGUUCUACACAAUAUUGCUAUAAAAUGGAGAAUUCCAGAAAAUGAAAUUUAUUUAAAUGAGAUAGAUGAACAAAUACCAAUACAAUAUGAUGACAUUGACGUAAAUAACGCUGAACAAAUAUGAAAUGUUGUUCAAUGGUAUUUUAAAUAGACAACAUGCGAAUGUCUCAAGCUACACAAUUGUGCAAGAUUAUAUUUUUUAACGUAUUUACAAGAGACUAAAUGAAGUAUUCAUGCUAAAAAGAUUCUCAUAAGGAGAAUCCUGUGUCUUUAUGGACACACAAAAGAAUAUUAAGAAUCACGGAAAAUUAGAAAAAUUUGUCAGAAUUGAGUUUAAGCGAUAACGAUAUAAAAAUGAUAGAGAUUAUUUUUAUUGUUGCUGAAGAGAUAAGUUGUAAGGCUUAAAUAUAGUCUUUUCUUUUUUAUUAUUAUCCAAAUUAACAAGUGAUACAAAAAACGAGAAUAUAUAUCCUAUUUUCCUUCAUUAAAAUGUAAAUUUUAACUCUUCGUAUAAUUUUUUUUUCCAUAUCUAUUAUGCAUUUAGCGACAGCAAGAAAUACAUAAUGAUAAUGUAAGCACUCGUUAUAACAUCGUCUCGUUAUAUUAAUUAUAAAUCAUAAUGCUUGAUAGGAAAGAUAUAUGUUAUGACAUUCGAAGUGUAUUGUUGCGACUUGUAAUGAUUAUUGUACAAAUGGAUAAACAUUAAUGAAUGGAUACGGAA